RNAcentral lists this ribosomal RNA (323 nucleotides) under Mitsuokella multacida. RNAcentral describes it as "partial 16S ribosomal RNA". Lineage: Bacteria; Bacillati; Bacillota; Negativicutes; Selenomonadales; Selenomonadaceae. The record is from RNAcentral.
GGAGUAUGAACCGUGUCUCAGUUCCAUUGUGGCCGUUCAUCCUCUCAGACCGGCUACUGAUCGUCGCCUUGGUAAGCCUUUACCCCACCAACUAGCUAAUCAGACGCAGACUCCUCCUCUUCCGAGUUGCCUCUUUAUCAUCAGAAACAUGCGUUCCCGAUGUGCAUUCGGAAUUAGCAAUCCUUUCGGACUGUUGUGCCCAAGAAGAGGGCAGAUUAUCUGCGCAUUACUCACCCGUUCGCCACUAAGCACCGAAGUGCUCCGUACGACUUGCAUGUGUUAGGCACGCCGCCAGCGUCGUCCUGAGCCACUGAUCAAACUCU